GUUAUAUGGUCAAGUGAAGAAGCGCAUACGGUGGAUGCCUUGGCAGUCAGAGGCGAUGAAAGACGUGGUAGCCUGCGAAAAGCUUUGGGGAGUCGGCAAACAGACUGUGAUCCAGAGAUCUCUGAAUGGGGGAACCCAGCCAGCAUAAGCUGGUUAUCUUGUACUGAAUACAUAGGUGCAAGAGGCGAACCAGGGGAACUGAAACAUCUAAGUACCCUGAGGAAAAGAAAUCAACCGAGAUUCCCUUAGUAGUGGCGAGCGAACGGGGACCAGCCCUUAAGUUGGUUUGAGAUUAGUGGAACGCUCUGGAAAGUGCGGCCAUAGUGGGUGAUAGCCCCGUACACGAAAAUCUCUUAUCAAUGAAAUCGAGUAGGACGGAGCACGAGAAACUUUGUCUGAAUAUGGGGGGACCAUCCUCCAAGGCUAAAUACUACUGACUGACCGAUAGUGAACUAGUACCGUGAGGGAAAGGCGAAAAGAACCCCGGAGAGGGGAGAGAAAUAGAUCCUGAAACCGUAUGCGUACAAGCAGUGGGAGCCUACUUUGUUAGGUGACUGCGUACCUUUUGUAUAAUGGGUCAGCGACUUAUAUUCAGUGGCGAGCUUAACCGAAUAGGGGAGGCGUAGCGAAAGCGAGUCUUAAUAGGGCGUUUAGUCGCUGGGUAUAGACCCGAAACCGGGCGAUCUAUCCAUGGGCAGGUUGAAGGUUAGGUAACACUGACUGGAGGACCGAACCGACUACCGUUGAAAAGUUAGCGGAUGACCUGUGGAUCGGAGUGAAAGGCUAAUCAAGCUCGGAGAUAGCUGGUUCUCCUCGAAAGCUAUUUAGGUAGCGCCUCAUGUAUCACUGUAGGGGGUAGAGCACUGUUUCGGCUAGGGGGUCAUCCCGACUUACCAAACCGAUGCAAACUCCGAAUACCUACAAGUGCCGAGCAUGGGAGACACACGGCGGGUGCUAACGUCCGUCGUGAAAAGGGAAACAACCCAGACCGUCAGCUAAGGUCCCAAAGUCAUGGUUAAGUGGGAAACGAUGUGGGAAGGCUUAGACAGCUAGGAGGUUGGCUUAGAAGCAGCCACCCUUUAAAGAAAGCGUAAUAGCUCACUAGUCGAGUCGGCCUGCGCGGAAGAUGUAACGGGGCUCAAACCAUGCACCGAAGCUACGGGUAUCACCUUUUGGUGAUGCGGUAGAGGAGCGUUCUGUAAGCCUGUGAAGGUGAGUUGAGAAGCUUGCUGGAGGUAUCAGAAGUGCGAAUGCUGACAUGAGUAACGACAAUGCGAGUGAAAAACUCGCACGCCGAAAGACCAAGGUUUCCUGCGCAACGUUAAUCGACGCAGGGUUAGUCGGUCCCUAAGGCGAGGCUGAAAAGCGUAGUCGAUGGAAAACAGGUUAAUAUUCCUGUACUUCCAGUUAUUGCGAUGGAGGGACGGAGAAGGUUAGGCCAGCCUGGCGUUGGUUGUCCAGGUUUAAGGUGGUAGGCUGGAAUCUUAGGCAAAUCCGGGAUUUCAAGGCCGAGAGCUGAUGACGAGUUGCCUUUAGGCGACGAAGUGGUUGAUACCAUGCUUCCAAGAAAAGCUCCUAAGCUUCAGAUAACUGGGAACCGUACCCCAAACCGACACAGGUGGUUAGGUAGAGAAUACCAAGGCGCUUGAGAGAACUCGGGUGAAGGAACUAGGCAAAAUGGCACCGUAACUUCGGGAGAAGGUGCGCCGGCGAGGGUCAAGGACUUGCUCCGUAAGCCCAUGCCGGUCGAAGA
This 1753-nucleotide ribosomal RNA is filed under the name Flavobacterium psychrotolerans. RNAcentral describes it as "bacterial LSU rRNA". It matches the Rfam family "Bacterial large subunit ribosomal RNA", at positions 1 to 1783 of the family's 2925-position model. Lineage: Bacteria; Pseudomonadati; Bacteroidota; Flavobacteriia; Flavobacteriales; Flavobacteriaceae. The record is from RNAcentral.